GCGGUUACUCUUGACAGCAUUCAGAAUUGACAAUCCCCAGAGAGGUUUGUUUCCUCACCCGUCCGUGAAAGGAAAGCUUGAUUCUCCCCAAUUUAGUCCCUGGCAAGUGUCUGCCUUGUUUUGACAUAUAUAGAUGUCAUCCUUACAAUACCGGUGAGUGUCGUGUUGAUCCCCGUGUGGGUCCUUUCUUUUGGUGUCAGUAGACAUCAUCUCUUGAU
RNAcentral lists this long non-coding RNA (218 nucleotides) under Lathyrus oleraceus (garden pea). Its description in RNAcentral is "Pisum sativum (pea) long non-coding RNA (PSAT_LNC018451)". The record is from RNAcentral. Lineage: Eukaryota; Viridiplantae; Streptophyta; Magnoliopsida; Fabales; Fabaceae.